AGUGAACGCUGGCGGUAGGCCUAACACAUGCAAGUCGAACGGCAGCACAGUAAGAGCUUGCUCUUACGGGUGGCGAGUGGCGGACGGGUGAGGAAUACAUCGGAAUCUACUUUUUCGGGGGGGAUAACGUAGGGAAACUUACGCUAAUACCGCAUACGACCUACGGGUGAAAGCAGGGGAUCUUCGGACCUUGCGCGAAUGAAUGAGCCGAUGUCGGAUUAGCUAGUUGGCGGGGGAAAGGCCAACCAAGGCGCCGAUCCGUAGCUGGUCUGAGAGGAUGGUCGGCCACCUUGGAACUGAGGCACGGCCCAGGCUCCUACGGGACGCCGCAGUCGCGAAUAUUGGACAAUAGGCGGAAGCCUGAUCCAGCCGUACCGCGUGGGUGAAGAAGGCCUUCGGUUUGUAAAGCCCUUUUUUUGGGAAAGAAAAGCAGCAGGUUAAUACCCCGCUGUUCUGACGGUACCCAAAGAAUAAGCACCGGCUAACUUCGUG
RNAcentral lists this ribosomal RNA (492 nucleotides) under uncultured bacterium. Its description in RNAcentral is "partial 16S ribosomal RNA". It matches the Rfam family "Bacterial small subunit ribosomal RNA", at positions 29 to 507 of the family's 1533-position model. The record is from RNAcentral.